This 504-nucleotide ribosomal RNA is filed under the name uncultured bacterium. RNAcentral describes it as "partial 16S ribosomal RNA". It matches the Rfam family "Bacterial small subunit ribosomal RNA", at positions 30 to 523 of the family's 1533-position model. The record is from RNAcentral.
AUUGAACGCUGGCGGCAGGCCUAACACAUGCAAGUCGAACGGUAGCACAGAGAGCUUGCUCUCGGGUGACGAGUGGCGGACGGGUGAGUAAUGUCUGGGAAACUGCCCGAUGGAGGGGGAUAACUACUGGAAACGGUAGCUAAUACCGCAUAACGUCUUCGGACCAAAGUGGGGGACCUUCGGGCCUCACACCAUCGGAUGUGCCCAGAUGGGAUUAGCUAGUAGGUGGGGUAAUGGCUCACCUAGGCGACGAUCCCUAGCUGGUCUGAGAGAAUGACCAGCCACACUGGAGCUGAGACACGGUCCAGACUCCUACGGGAGGCAGCAGUGGGGAAUAGUGCACAAUGGGCGCAAGCCUGAUGCAGCCAUGCCGCGUGUAUGAAGAAGGCCUUCGGGUUGUAAAGUACUUUCAGCGGGGAGGAAGGCGGUGAAGUUAAUAGCUUCAUCGAUUGACGUUACCCGCAGAAGAAGCACCGGCUAACUCCGUGCCAGCCGCCGCCGUAA